RNAcentral lists this ribosomal RNA (253 nucleotides) under uncultured bacterium. RNAcentral describes it as "partial 16S ribosomal RNA". It matches the Rfam family "Bacterial small subunit ribosomal RNA", at positions 524 to 776 of the family's 1533-position model. The record is from RNAcentral.
UACGUAGGGUGCAAGCGUUAUCCGGAAUUAUUGGGCGUAAAGAGCUCGUAGGCGGUUUGUCGCGUCUGCCGUGAAAGUCCGGGGCUUAACUCCGGAUCUGCGGUGGGUACGGGCAGACUAGAGUGCAGUAGGGGAGACUGGAAUUCCUGGUGUAGCGGUGAAAUGCGCAGAUAUCAGGAGGAACACCGAUGGCGAAGGCAGGUCUCUGGGCUGUAACUGACGCUGAGGAGCGAAAGCAUGGGGAGCAAACAGG